UAGGGAAUCUUCCACAAUGGACGCAAGUCUGAUGGAGCAACGCCGCGUGAGUGAAGAAGGUCUUCGGAUCGUAAAGCUCUGUUGUUGGUGAAGAAGGAUAGAGGCAGUAACUGGUCUUUAUUUGACGGUAAUCAACCAGAAAGUCACGGCUAACUACGUGCCAGCAGCCGCGGUAAUACGUAGGUGGCAAGCGUUGUCCGGAUUUAUUGGGCGUAAAGCGAGCGCAGGCGGAAUGAUAAGUCUGAUGUGAAAGCCCACGGCUCAACCGUGGAACUGCAUCGGAAACUGUCAUUCUUGAGUGCAGAAGAGGAGAGUGGAACUCCAUGUGUAGCGGUGGAAUGCGUAGAUAUAUGGAAGAACACCAGUGGCGAAGGCGGCUCUCUGGUCUGCAACUGACGCUGAGGCUCGAAAGCAUGGGUAGCGAACAGGAUUAGAUACCCUGGUAGUCCAUGCCGUAAACGAUGAGCGCUAGGUGUUGGGGACUUUCCGGUCCUCAGUGCCGCAGCAAACGCAUUAAGCGCUCCGCCU
Molecule: ribosomal RNA, 528 nt
Filed under: uncultured bacterium
Lineage: Bacteria
Description: partial 16S ribosomal RNA
Rfam family: Bacterial small subunit ribosomal RNA
Source: RNAcentral